This 3538-nucleotide long non-coding RNA is filed under the name Mus musculus (house mouse). Its description in RNAcentral is "long non-coding RNA chr16:8577514-8581052". The record is from RNAcentral. Lineage: Eukaryota; Metazoa; Chordata; Mammalia; Rodentia; Muridae.
GGCUUUGUUUUAUUUUGUUUUGUUUAAUUUCGUUUUUAUGUAUUUUUUUUUAUAUUGGUGCUUUGUCUGCAUGUAUAUCUACACACCAGAAAAGGGCAUCAAAUCCUAUUAUAGAGUAUUCUGAAUGCUAGAAAUUUUAACUCAAGAGAUCUGGAAGAGCAGCUUUUGGCCUUAACCCCUUGAAUUUCUUUUCUCCGACUGUUGUGGUCUGCCUAAUGUGGGUGCCAGGAACCAAAUGUGGUCCUCUGUAAAAGCAGCAAGCGCUCUUAGUACCUGAGCCAUCUCUCCAACUCCUAGAAAGAAGUCGGCUUUGGACUGGGAGGAGAGCUCACCGGGGGAAAGCACUUGCCAUUCAGGAGUAAAAUCCUAAGUUCAAUUCCUGAACCCGCAGUGGAAGAAAAGAACCAAGCCCCUAAAAGUUGUCCUCAAACCUACACACACACACACACACACCCCUCAGCUCAUCCUGCUGCCUUAGGACAGGAGCGUGCCUGCUUUCUUACAACCUCAUUGGCCCUGGUUUUUCCAUUUUGGAAUCCUUAUUGUCCUGAGAGUCUAGGUAUCUAAAUUUGUUGAGACACAGUGUACUAAGGUGAACUUGUCAGACAGAACAAAGCUGAGGUCUGGGACCACCUGUUAAGGACUGAGGGCACCUGUUGGAGCUGACCCUCCUUGUAUCUUGUCACCAAGGGUCUCAUUUGUCUUCUGUAUUAUAGGAUCCAGAUAUAUCAGCCAAGCCGCUGCCAAAGUUGACAUUGAAUUUGAUUAUGAUGGACCACUCAUGAAGACGGAAGUCCCGGGGCCUAGAUCUAAGGUGAGCCAACCUCUCAGAAACAAAGACCCAGGAGGCAGGUGCACAGGCUGCUUAAGAGGCAUUUUCAGAGCCUCUUCUAGAGACGGGCAUGAAAUAAGCCCGGCCAUUGUGAAGGCUUCAAAGGUGUUUCAUGUCUGCUGUCAUGAGGACAUUGCCUAACAGCAGGCCACAGACUGGGACAUGUGGCAGCCAGAUUGUGCAUGCAUUUAGGGCUAACCAGCAGUUAGGUCGGUGGCCCAGUUGGAGCCAUCUGCAGGCCUAAGGCGUGGCUGGCUGUCACCUGGUGUACUUUAUAUCUGAAAUGGUUUGCCUCUGCUCCAUGGCUGAUCAUCCUCCAACUUGUCACACUGGGCUUAUUCUGAUUUCACUCUAAGUCUAUUCAGACUGAAGCUCCAUACUGCCUUUUGAAUGCCCCCACCUUUUCUAUUGGCCAAAGCAAGUUGCAUGGACAGCUGUCCAGAAUACCAGAAGUCACAGCAUAGGGCCUGGGCAUCAAAGACUUCUGACUGACUUUGAUCUUGAAGGAGAAAGAGAAAUGUGACAUAAGAAAGGUGGUCUGUACAAGUGAUAACGGGACAGAAUGGGGGACAAACUUGGGGACGGAGAGAAAGGAGCCAGAGGCAGGCAGAGGACGUGGGGGCAGGGAGUGAGGGAGAGAGACAGUGAAAGCAAAGGUGCCACAAUGAAUUCAUUACUUUGUAUUCUAACCCAAUAGAAAAAGCAAUAAUAAGAUAUGAUCUUCAAGCCUGACUUGAGCAAGCCUGGCAUGAAGCUGUUCACAGCAGGCUUAGUGGCUCACACCUGUAAUUCCAGCACUUGGGAGGAGAAAGCAGACAAAGCAGGAAUUCAGGGCCUUCCUCUGCUAUGUAAGGAGUUCAGGGCCAGCCUGGGACACCUCGGGGACUGCUUCCCUAAGACAGAUAGGAGAAGCUGUCUUCUGUGCAAGAGACAUGGUAUAAACCUUUCAGUGCUUCAGGGAUUUUUUCUCUAAUAUUUAACAGAUUUUAUCCACAGUGGGAUGCUGUCUUAUUUACUGUAAAAAGAUCAUGCCUUUUGCCACAGUUGUGGGAACAGGGAUUGGGAAAUGGGGGGAAGAGUGGAGACAAACCCACGGAGAUGCCUGGGAUUCAGGCUCUAGAGACCAGAGUCAGAGUGCAGAUUUAACUUCAUUGUUUAUUAUAUAAGCUUACAUACAGCUUUUUAGCCAAUUAGGGUAUGUUUAUGUAUUCAAGGGCAAAUGGGGUACAACCUGUGUUGUAGCCAAAUCUGACUAGCCUGUCCUUGAACCUGUGGGGGAGAGGCCAAUUCCCAGGGGCACUUCUAUGAAGACAGGGGAAGCAGCCACCGACUUGGGUCCUUUGUGUUGUCUGGUAUGCUGGGAGCUAUGUCAGAUCACACACUGUGUACAGUGCAUGGGGAUCCUUCAAGGAAUGGGAGGAGCUUGUGGUGCUCCGCUCUCCCACCCACUUCCUCCUCCGCCAAGUUUACCUCCACAUCUGCCCCACACACAUAGCACCUGCUUUAUGAGUUCAAAAAUAUUCGUCUUAUUGUGUUUAUCUUUCUGUUGGAUGGUUUUCGUCAAACAGAAGGAGAGUGCUUUCUCAUGCAUAUUUCUGUUGGGGUGGAUUCUAAUUUAAUGGAGAAAUGCUUAGAAUAACUUUUCAUAUUUUUAUUGUUAAUAUUAUUUUAUAUUUUUUGUGUGGAAAUGUGUAAUGUCAAAAUGCUGACUGCUGAAGACUUCUUUAUGCAGAAUUAUUUUGGAGGCUGAAAUCCUGUUACUAUCAAGCUUUCUAUUCCCAGUUUCUGUUUGAAACUGGGGAAAGUGAAUUUUAAUCAGAAGUGGGUCUUUGUUGAGAAAAUUAAUAUUGUCAGUUGAUCUUACCCCCAGCUACUGAUAAGGAAGUUGCAUCUUUUCUUUUUGUUCUCCCCAAGUGCUAGAGGUCAAACUUUGAAACUCGGGGCUUCAUGCACACUUAGCAAAUGCUUUACCACUGAGCUUUGAAUUAAUAAUUUGAUGUGGCUGUAAGUCUACAUACCAUGUAUGUGUCGUGUCCGUGGUGAAUGGCAGCCGUGAUCCCAGCCCUUGAAACUGGAGUUGCAGACACUUCUGAGCUGCCACAUAGAUUCUGGGAAUUGAACCUGGUUCAGUGCUCUUAACCUCUGAGUUAUCUUCCCAGCCUGACUAAGCUAUUUUAAAAUGAGAAUAGGGGAUGGCAAGGUGGCUGUGCAGUUAAGAGCUCUGGCUGCUCUUCCAGAGGUCCUGAGUUCAAUUCUCAGCAACUACAUGGUAGCCCACAGCUGUCUGUAAGAGGGUCUGAUGCUGUCUCCUGGCCUGUGGCUGUGCAUGCAUCAGAGAAUUCAUACAUUAAAUAAAGUUUGAACAUAUUAUAAUAUAAGUUAUAUGUGUAAAUAAUAUAAUUAUGUAACGUCUCUAUGUGUAUAUGUGUAUUUAUGAGAACAUGAGUUGGCACAUGGCUGACAGAGGUACCUGCCACAAAGCCCGAUGCCCUGGGAUUAAAUCUCAGGAAUCCAUAGGGUGGAAGGAAAGAGCUAACUCCUGCAAAUUGUCUUCUGACCUUAGCAUGUGUAGUGUGGUGGCUAUAUACCCACCCACAAACAAAAUAAAAUAAAUAAAAAUGUAAAAUAAACCUAGAGCUAGCGAUGUAGCUCAAUGUAGAGCGCUUGCCCAGAAUAAGCAAGACCGUGAGCUCUAACUGCAGCACC